This is a non-coding RNA of Aedes albopictus (Asian tiger mosquito), 118 nucleotides long. Lineage: Eukaryota; Metazoa; Arthropoda; Insecta; Diptera; Culicidae. The record is from Rfam.
UGCCCAGCAACUCCUAUCCCUACCUCCUCGUGGUACCGGCCGGAAACUAUGAACAACCUUAGGGAAGAUCGGGUAACCAACCCCGGUGGGAACUUUGGGCAUAGCUUGACAGGGAAGG